Molecule: microRNA precursor, 192 nt
Filed under: Oryza brachyantha (malo sina)
Lineage: Eukaryota; Viridiplantae; Streptophyta; Magnoliopsida; Poales; Poaceae
Description: MIR812 microRNA precursor family
Rfam family: MIR812 microRNA precursor family
Source: Rfam by way of RNAcentral
AAUAAGUUUAUUUUUUAGUUUCUAUAUAGUAUGUUUUACUUUUCGUCUUAUUUAGUUUUUUUUACGAUUAAUAUUUUUAUUGUUACUAGAUGAUAAAGCAUGAAUAAUGCUUUGUGUGUGACUAAUUUUUUUAGUUUUUUAUAAAUUUUUCAAAUAAGACGAAUGGUCAAAAUGUUGGACAUAAAAAUUAAA